RNAcentral lists this long non-coding RNA (1126 nucleotides) under Homo sapiens (human). Its description in RNAcentral is "HSALNT0346085". Lineage: Eukaryota; Metazoa; Chordata; Mammalia; Primates; Hominidae. The record is from RNAcentral.
GUGGUGGUAGGCGCCUGUAGUCCCAGCUACUCAGGAGGCUGAGGCAGGAGAAUGGCCUGAACCUGGGAGGCGGAGCUUGCAGUGAGCCGAGAUCGCACCACUGCACUCCAGCCUGGGUGACAGAGCAAGACUCCAUCUCAAAAAAAACAAAACAAAACAAAACAAAACUGAAAGUGUGUUUUCUGGAAUUGAGAUUGUCUUGGAUCUGUAGGGUUCUCAAGGGUACAAUGAGGAUCAAGGAAUUAAAGCCCCAGGGAAGCAGAUUUCAUUUUUUUUUUUUUUGGGAGGUGGGACAGAGUCUUGCUAUGUCUCCCAGGCUGAAGUGCAAUGGUGCAAUCUCAGCUCACUGCAACCUCUGCCUCCCAGGUUCAAGCGAAUCUCCUGCCUCAGCCUCCUGAGUAGCUGGGAUUACAGGUGCCUGCCACCAUGCCCGGCUAAUUUUUGUAUUUUUAGUAGAGAUGGGAUUUCAUCGUGUUGGCCAAGCUGGUCUCGAACUCCUGACCUUGUGAUCCACCUAUCUAGGCCUCCCAAAGUGCUGGGAUUAUAGGCGUGAGCCACUGUGCCUGGCCAGCUGAUUUCAAUUUCAUACAAGGAAGUACAUUCUAAUGGUGGAGUCUAGCUGAGGAAAGGGUGGAGAACCUCGAGAGAGAGUGGUUUUCCUGUCCCUGGGGUAUUCAGGCAGAAAGAGGAGAUGGCCAUGUAGCCAUGGAUGCUGCAGAGGGGAAAUGAAUGUCAGGCAGAUUGUUCUGCUCAUUUCAUCGGUCCUGCUCACUCUGAGAUAGUAUGGUUCUGACAUCCACUUCCACACCUAACUCCCCUAUGUCUCUACUCUUGUUGACACCCAGAACCGUCUUGUGUUUUUGCCAGAUAUUCCAUGGCUCACAUUUACUGUGACUGUGUUUUUUUUUGUUGUUGUUGUUGUUGUUUGUUUUUUUUUUUGAGAUGGUGUCUUGCUCUGUCACCUAGGCUGGAGUGCUAGAGUGCAGUGGCGCGAUCUCGGCUCACUGCCACCUCUGCCUCCCGGGUUCAAGCAAUUCUCUGCCUCAGCCUCCCGAGUAGCUGGGAUUACAGGCGCCUGCCACCACACCCAGCUAAUAUUUUGUAUUUUUAGUAGAGAUGGGGUUUC